This 81-nucleotide non-coding RNA is filed under the name pig gut metagenome. RNAcentral describes it as "pemK RNA". It matches the Rfam family "pemK RNA". The record is from RNAcentral.
ACAAUGAUACUUCUGUCCAGUCACAGACACAAGCAAUGAGGGCAGCUGUGUGAGAACCACACGGGGGUUAGAAUCCCAUGA